CCCUUAGAUGUUCUGGGCCGCACGCGCGCUACACUGUUCGACGCAGCGAGUCUUAACCUUGACCGAAAGGUUUGGGUAAUCUUCAGCAAAGUCGAACGUGAUGGGGAUCGAUCAUUGCAAUUAUUGAUCGUGAACGAGGAAUUCCUAGUAAGUGCAAGUCAUCAGCUUGCGCUGAUUACGUCCCUGCCCUUUGUACACACCGCCCGUCGCUACUACCGAUUGAAUGGUUUAGUGAGAUCUCUGGAUUGACGCUGGCUAGGGGGCGACCCUUGGCCAGGCUGUCGAGAAACUGCUCAAACGUGAUCAUUUAGAGGAAGUAAAAGUCGUAACA
RNAcentral lists this ribosomal RNA (331 nucleotides) under uncultured eukaryote. RNAcentral describes it as "partial 18S ribosomal RNA". It matches the Rfam family "Eukaryotic small subunit ribosomal RNA", at positions 1470 to 1796 of the family's 1831-position model. The record is from RNAcentral.